AGACCUUUUUGGGGAGACUUCACUGUAGAAGAGGCUAAAUACAUCCUCAAGCAGCCUCCGGGCAACGAUCACUGUGGGUUCUAUGUAAUGCAUUACAUGCACUGCUACACCGGCGAUUGCAGAAGCGCCGAAAUGAACACUGAGUUGGAUUCACGUGAAUUGCUCAUGGGCGAGCUAGUAGCACUUCAAGAAGAACUAGCUGGAUGGCUUGUGGACUACGUGGUGAAGCCAGGAUCUGAGUACAGCAUAAUUUAGGUGUAAUGUCUAGAUCGUAUCGUUCUUGUCAAGCAUUGUAAUAUAUUUGGUGUAUGGACUAGAUGUUCUUAAACUUGAUGCGUGGACUCUAUAUUUUUUAUUAUGAUGUUUGAACUCUCUCAUUUGAUUUCAAUGUAUAAUAUCUUAUGGUUCAAUUCUGCUGUAAUAAUUAUGUAUUAUAAACUCAAGAGGGCCUUGAACUGUUGAAGGCAGCUAUAGAAAAGGCUGGAUACACUGGAAAGGUGGUUAUUGGAAUGGAUGUUGCUGCUUCUGAAUUCUUCAGUGAGAAGGAUAAGACUUAUGAUCUUAAUUUCAAAGAGGAA
Molecule: long non-coding RNA, 578 nt
Organism: Panicum virgatum (switchgrass)
Lineage: Eukaryota; Viridiplantae; Streptophyta; Magnoliopsida; Poales; Poaceae
Exons: 3
Source: RefSeq, a predicted model, not a curated record